UACGGAGGAUCCAAGCGUUAUCCGGAUUCACUGGGUUUAAAGGGUGCGUAGGUGGAAUGACAAGUCAGUGGUGAAAACCUGCAGCUUAACUGUAGAACUGCCAUUGAUACUGUUAUUCUUGAGUACAUUUGAUGUGAGUGGAAUGUGUCGUGUAGCGGUGAAAUGCUUAGAUAUGACACAGAACACCAAUUGCGAAGGCAGCUCACAAAACUGUAAACUGACACUGAGGCACGAAAGCGUGGGGAUCAAACAGG
RNAcentral lists this ribosomal RNA (254 nucleotides) under uncultured bacterium. RNAcentral's name for it is "partial 16S ribosomal RNA". It matches the Rfam family "Bacterial small subunit ribosomal RNA", at positions 524 to 776 of the family's 1533-position model. The record is from RNAcentral.